This 528-nucleotide ribosomal RNA is filed under the name uncultured bacterium. RNAcentral's name for it is "bacterial LSU rRNA". It matches the Rfam family "Bacterial large subunit ribosomal RNA", at positions 801 to 1326 of the family's 2925-position model. The record is from RNAcentral.
CGGUACGUGGCAUACGGGGUGAAAGUGCCAAUCGAAACGUCGGAGAUAGACUGGUUNUCCCCCGAAAUAGCUUUAGGGCGUAGCCUCGAGUGAUGCAUGCAGACGGUAGAGGCACUGAUCGGGCAAGGGGCGUAAAGCCUACGACCCCAGUCAAACUGCGAAUGGCUGCAUGUCAAACUCGGGAGUCAGCGUGCGAGUGAUAAGACCCGUACGCAAGAGGGAAACAGCCCAGACCGCCAGCUAAGGUCCCCAAUGCUGUACUAAGUGGAAAAAGGAUGUAGGAAUUCGAAAACAACCAGGAUGUUGGCUCAGAAGCAGCCACCAUUUAAAGAGUGCGUAAUAGCUCACUGGUCGAGAGUCCCCUGCGCCGAAAAUAUCCGGGGCUCAAGUACAGAACCGAAGCUGCGGCUGCAUACUUAGGUAUGCGGGGUAGGGGAGCGUACCAUGCGCGGCGAAGCCGUACCGGAAGGAGCGGUGGAGUGCAUGGCAGUGAGAAUGCCGGUAUGAGUAGCGAAAAGGCCAGCAAGA